UAUAAUAACUUAACAGAUUGAUUGCGAGAAUUGGCAUAAGUUGACACCUUCAAUUGUAUCUUUCUAUAUAAAUAAUUUUUCUCUUUGGCAAAAAGAAAUCCUAUAUAAUCAAGAAGUAUUUAACUCAAAUAGGCAACUGAACAUUGGACCAAAAAUUACUACAUUUUGGCAUGGCACAAAUAAAAAAGAAUAUAGAAUUUGACAUGUUUAUGAUAUAUUUUAAGCAUUCUCUUUUUCUCUCUCUUAUUUCUCCAUCUC
This 258-nucleotide long non-coding RNA is filed under the name Phoenix dactylifera (date palm). RNAcentral describes it as "long non-coding RNA (PDAC_LNC005978)". Lineage: Eukaryota; Viridiplantae; Streptophyta; Magnoliopsida; Arecales; Arecaceae. The record is from RNAcentral.